Molecule: non-coding RNA, 46 nt
Filed under: Trichobilharzia regenti
Lineage: Eukaryota; Metazoa; Platyhelminthes; Trematoda; Strigeidida; Schistosomatidae
Source: RNAcentral
GUACUGAUGAAGAGUCUCAAACUAGGACAAAACGGCUGUCCAGUAC